This is an RNA transcript of Solanum stenotomum, 3744 nucleotides long. RefSeq lists it as uncharacterized. Lineage: Eukaryota; Viridiplantae; Streptophyta; Magnoliopsida; Solanales; Solanaceae. The transcript has 7 exons. The record is from RefSeq and is a predicted model, not a curated record.
UGGUCUAUUUCUCUUCGGUCUUGCCCUUCACCAGAUUCCUUGACCAAAUUUAGGGUUAGCAUAUUUUGUAGCUACAGUGACAUGGCUGACCGGAACAAUUCAUCGGCGAUUACAGUGACGGCAGCGGUGAAACCGAUAUGGGCGAAGCAAGCAGAGGAAGCGAAGCUUAAGAGCGAAGCAGAGAAAGAUGCGGCUGCGAAAGCUGCUUUCGAUGCCACGUUUAAGAACGUCGAAGCUUCAGCCACUGCAGCCGCGGCCGCAUCCGACAGUGACUUAGAUGAUGAGGAAUAUGAGCAGAAGAGGCUUGCGGAGAAGCCGAUCGGUCCGGUUGACCCUAUAAAAUGUACGGCGGCUGGCACUGGAAUCGCCGGUGGAACAGCGUGUGCUCCGUCAACUUUCACCGUUGUGACGAAGGAUUCUGAUGGUCGUAAGGUUCCACAUGGUGGGGCGAUGGUUAAGAUUAGAGUUUCACCUGGUGUUGGAGUUGGAGGAUCAGAUUUGGAAGGGAUUGUGAAGGAUAUGGGUGAUGGGACAUACACAGUGAGUUAUAUUGUUCAGAAGAGAGGAAAUUAUAUGGUGAAUGUUGAAUGUAAUGGAAAGCCUAUCAUGGGUAGUCCUUUCCCUGUUUUCUUCAGCACAGGCAGUACGACUGGCGGGCUAUUGGGUAUAGUACCGUCAACAACAUUUCCAAAUAUGGUCAACCAGAACAUGCCUAAUAUGCCAAACUAUUCUGGUUCUGUAUCUGGGGCAGUCCCAGGAUUGCUUGGGAUGAUACCAGGUAUUGUUCCUGGAGCUUCUGGAGGUGUAGUUUUACCUGGAAUUGGAGCAUCUAUUGGGGAAGUUUGCCGAGAGUACCUUUAUGGACGAUGUGCAAAAACUGAUUGCAAAUUCAAUCACCCCCCUCACAAUCUUCUAAUGACUGCUCUAGCUGCGACCACCAGUAUGGGAACACUUAGUCAAGUUCCCAUGGCACCUUCUGCGGCUGCUAUGGCUGCUGCUCAGGCAAUUGUUGCUGCACAAGCUCUUCAAGCGCAUGCUGCUCAGGCACAAGCACAGUCUGGAAAAGAUUCGUCUGGUGACAAAGAUAGAAAGGCCGAAUCCCUUAAAAGAACUUUGCAAGUCAGCAAUCUCAGCCCACUUCUGACAGUGGAUCAGUUGAAACAGCUGUUUGGUUUCUGUGGUGCAAUCAUUGAUUGUAGCAUUACUGAAUCCAAACAUUUUGCUUACAUCGAAUACUCAAAACCCGAAGAAGCAACUGCUGCUUUAGCAUUGAACAAUAUAGAAGUUGGAGGUCGCCCCUUAAAUGUUGAAAUGGCAAAACAACUUCCUCCAAAGGCAUCUGUCUUAAAUUCAUCAAUGGGCUCUUCUUCUUUGCCCUUGAUGAUGCAGCAAGCAGUAGCAAUGCAGCAGAUGCAGUUCCAGCAAGCCCUAUUAAUGCAGCAAGCUAUGACUGAACAACAAGCUGCUAAUCGAGCUGCAACCAUGAAAACUGCUACAGAUUUGGCUGCCGCAAGAGCUGCAGAAAUAAGCAAGAUGUUGAAAGCGAAUGGCCUGGUUUCUGAAGAUAAGGAAACUGAUGACAAAGCUAAGUCACCUUCUCCCAGUCGUGCUAGGUCAAGAUCCAGGUCACCAUCCAAAUCUCGAUCCAGAUCAAGAUCUCCAAUAAGUUAUAGGCGAAGGCGCAGAUCCCGUUCUUUCUCUCCUCCACGGAGAUCAAGAGAUUAUAGAUCCAGGUCACCUGUGAGAUCCCGGCGCUAUUCAGGCUACGAAGAUGAAAGGCGGCCAUAUAGGGAUGUUAGAUAUGCUAAUGAAAGAAGUCGAAGACGGGAUUUUGUUAGAUUCUAUGAUCGUCGUUCUCCUGUUUCAAGGAGAAACAGAAGUAGAAGCACAAGUCCCCGAACUAGAAAAUCUUACCGUGACGAUUCAGGCUCACCAAAACACCGCCGAGAAAGUCCGGCACUUAAGACAAGUAGAGCUUCUCGCCAUGAGUCAGUAUCGCCUGAACAUAGACGAAAAAGUAGGUCAUCCCCAAAAGAUGGUGAAAGAAAAUCAAAAUAUAGCAGGCGCUCGAGAUCAAAGUCUGCUGAAGUUAGGGACCAGUCUGAUGAUAAGCUAGAAGGAAGCAGGGGUGAGAAAGCCAGGCAGAAGGAUCAAAGAAGGUCAGCAUCACCACAGGUUGAUGAAGAUGCACAGAAGAAAAUGUCACCGGAAGUUGUGGAAGAAAGCAAGUCAAAGCAGAGAAGAGCCUCCAGGUCCAGAUCGCCAGAAGAGAAGCAUCUUUCUAGCAGAAGCAGAGAAGAGAAAAGAAAGCAUCAUGCUAGAAGGCGCUCCAGGUCAAGGUCCAAAUCUCCUGAAGAGAAAGUUCACUCUAGUGAUAAAGUAGACAGAAAUAAAGGAGAUAAACCUAAGCAUCGAAGUAGAAGGCACUCAAAGUCAAGGUCCAGAUCUCCUGAAGAAAAACAUCAUUCAAGUGCUAAAUUGGAAAGGAGCAGAAAAGAGAAAUCAAAGAGUCGAAGUAAAAGGCGCUCCAGGUCAAGAUCUGUCGAUGAUAAGCAGCACGGAACUAAACAGUCAGCAAGCCGUUCUGAUAGCCGACGAUCAAAGCUCAGGGCACGUUCUAGAUCAAAUUCUUCUGAAAGUAGGCAUGGAUCAGGUCAAGAUGAAACCAUAAAGGAUGACGUGAGAGGUCAUAGGGGUCACCAGAGAAGAUCUAGGCAGGAUGGCAAUAAUCAUGGAACAACUGAGAUUAGCUUGAUGGAAGAAGAUCCUGCUAAGGGAAUGUAAACCAGUGACUGAUAGCUUCCAAUUCAAAGAGUUCUGAAUCUAUGGGUUAUGGCUUGUGAUACUCAAUUGUGUGAACAUUUUAUUUUACCAUUGCAGAAAACAUGAGAAGUUUUGAGGAAGCAUGAUGUCCUGGAAGAUCGUGAUCCCAACACCCGAUGAUCAAGAAAGAUCUGUUAAGACUGAAUUAAUUGCAGUUUGUAUGAUGAAAACGCCUAUUUUUGCUUCUUUUGCAGGUCCUUCAUGGAACAUAACCAGAAAGUGAAGUAGCAUUAGUUGAAAGGUUGAGUAUCAAGUUUGUGCCAUCUUGGAUCAACUCUGCUGAGUUUCUUGUGAACUACUUUUUGAGCUCAUGUAUGGUGAACUUUUACCUCUGUCAGUAGGUCUUGGGACUGGUUCUUGUUGGCGCUUUAUCAAUUGAAUGGGCAAAGUUAUAUCUGAUUGUAUUUGAAGGCAGGCUGCUAUUAAGGUUAAUGUAACCAGAUGUUGCUGAGAUGAUAGUGCAUGAUGCUCCCUGAAUCGAGCAUGAAACAGAUACUCAUAUCUGUUCUUUAAUUGGUGGAACUCAAUUGUUCCAUAACAGGUGGUGCUGAAUGUAUGGGACUGAGAGCUGUAUCCUGUUGUCAAUCUAGAUGUGGUUGAUGUCACACUUAUAAUUUCCUUCCCUUCCCCCUUCCUUUUUCAUUUACAUUCACGUUUACCCUUCCCCGUCUUUCAUCUCUGCUUCUCUCCCUUGCUUUCCUCGUUUUGUUAUUUGGGGUGGUUGGAGGUUCUAUAAGGAGUAGUAUGACUAGCUAAAAGGCACAAGCAGCAAGGCGAGGAAACAUUAAUUUUGGCGGGUGAUUUGACAAUGUAUUUUUGCUAGGAUGUUUUUGUUUGGACCAGGAUUAUAUCUCAAGAGUAGACACUUUGUUUAGGUGUGUAUGGGCCAUCUAUGAAAUAAAAAUCAACAGAUAUUUUUCA